RNAcentral lists this unclassified non-coding RNA (280 nucleotides) under Hevea brasiliensis (rubber tree). Lineage: Eukaryota; Viridiplantae; Streptophyta; Magnoliopsida; Malpighiales; Euphorbiaceae. The record is from RNAcentral.
GGAUGCUGAAGAAACAUGUGAUGCUUUCUCAUUUCAAAAGAAUCAUGCCCUGUACCAGGAAGUUCCUACUUCAAUUGAUGUUGUCUCUCCUGGCACUGACAAACGGACAAACUCAAUGUUUUAUGGUGCCUUUCUUGAGGGGUUGGCUAAUGGUGAGGGGCAUGUGGAUUAUCCUACUGAAACUGACCCUAUGGAUGAAUGUUCACCUGAUCCACAUGUUGUGGACAACUCGGUUAAAGAUUUCACUGGGCUAACGGAUAUCUACUGGCCUGAAUCUUUA